GUAGGGUGCGAGCGUUAAUCGGAAUUACUGGGCGUAAAGCGUGCGCAGGCGGCCUCUUAAGCCAGAUGUGAAAUCCCCGGGCUUAACCUGGGAACUGCGUUUGGAACUGGGAGGCUAGAGUGUGGAAGAGGGGGGUGGAAUUCCCGGUGUAGCAGUGAGAUGCGUAGAUAUCGGGAGGAACACCAAUGGCGAAGGCAGCCCCCUGGGCUAACACUGACGCUCAUGCACGAAAGCGUGGGGAGCAAACAGGAUUAGAUACCCUGGUAGUCCACGCCCUAAACGAUGUCAACUGGUUGUUGGGGGAGUCAAUCCCUUAGUAACGAAGCUAACGCGUGAAGUUGACCGCCUGGGGAGUACGGCCGCAAGGUUA
This 370-nucleotide ribosomal RNA is filed under the name uncultured bacterium. RNAcentral describes it as "bacterial SSU rRNA". It matches the Rfam family "Bacterial small subunit ribosomal RNA", at positions 527 to 896 of the family's 1533-position model. The record is from RNAcentral.